CGAACGGUAACAGGUUAAGCUGACGAGUGGCGAACGGGUGAGUAAUGUAUCGGAACGUGCCCAGUCGUGGGGGAUAACUGCUCGAAAGAGCAGCUAAUACCGCAUACGACCUGAGGGUGAAAGCGGGGGAUCGCAAGACCUCGCGCGAUUGGAGCGGCCGAUAUCAGAUUAGGUAGUUGGUGGGGUAAAGGCUCACCAAGCCAACGAUCUGUAGCUGGUCUGAGAGGACGACCAGCCACACUGGGACUGAGACACGGCCCAGACUCCUACGGGAGGCAGCAGUGGGGAAUUUUGGACAAUGGGCGCAAGCCUGAUCCAGCCAUGCCGCGUGCGGGAAGAAGGCCUUCGGGUUGUAAACCGCUUUUGUCAGGGAAGAAAAGGUUCUGGCUAAUACCUGGGACUCAUGACGGUACCUGAAGAAUAAGCACCGGCUAACUACGUGCCAGCAGCCGCGGUAAUACGUAGGGUGCAAGCGUUAAUCGGAAUUACUGGGCGUAAAGCGUGCGCAGGCGGUUAUGCAAGACAGAGGUGAAAUCCCCGGGCUCAACCUGGGAACUGCCUUUGUGACUGCAUAGCUAGAGUGCGGCAGAGGGGGAUGGAAUUCCGCGUGUAGCAGUGAAAUGCGUAGAUAUGCGGAGGAACACCGAUGGCGAAGGC
Molecule: ribosomal RNA, 657 nt
Filed under: uncultured beta proteobacterium
Lineage: Bacteria; Pseudomonadati; Pseudomonadota; Betaproteobacteria
Description: bacterial SSU rRNA
Rfam family: Bacterial small subunit ribosomal RNA
Source: RNAcentral